GACGAACGCUGGCGGCGUGCCUAAUACAUGCAAGUAGAACGCUGAAGAGAGGAGCUUGCUCUUCUUGAAUGAGUUGCGAACGGGUGAGUAACGCGUAGGUAACCUGCCUUGUAGCGGGGGAUAACUAUUGGAAACGAUAGCUAAUACCGCAUAACAAUGGGUGACACAUGUCAUUUAUUUGAAAGGGGCAAUUGCUCCACUACAAGAUGGACCUGCGUUGUAUUAGCUAGUAGGUGAGGUAACGGCUCACCUAGGCGACGAUACAUAGCCGACCUGAGAGGGUGAUCGGCCACACUGGGACUGAGACACGGCCCAGACUCCUACGGGAGGCAGCAGUAGGGAAUCUUCGGCAAUAGGGGCAACCCUGACCGAGCAACGCCGCGUGAGUGAAGAAGGUUGUCGGAUCGUAAAGCUCUGUUGUAAGUCAAGAAUGAGUGUGAGAGUGGAAAGUUCACACUGUGACGGUAGCUUACCAGAAAGGGACGGCUAACUACGUG
This 497-nucleotide ribosomal RNA is filed under the name uncultured bacterium. RNAcentral describes it as "partial 16S ribosomal RNA". It matches the Rfam family "Bacterial small subunit ribosomal RNA", at positions 28 to 507 of the family's 1533-position model. The record is from RNAcentral.